This 378-nucleotide ribosomal RNA is filed under the name uncultured eukaryote. RNAcentral's name for it is "partial 18S ribosomal RNA". It matches the Rfam family "Eukaryotic small subunit ribosomal RNA", at positions 592 to 976 of the family's 1831-position model. The record is from RNAcentral.
CAAUAGCGUAUAUUUAAGUUGUUGCAGUUAAAAAGCUCGUAGUUGGAUUUCGGGUGGGACACAGCGGUCUCGCAUUGCGUUUGUACUGCUGCAGCCCUCCUUCUUGCCGGGGGCGGCCUCUCGGACUUCACUGUCUGGGGGUCAGAAUCGGCGAUGUUACUUUGAGUAAAUUAGAGUGUUCAAAGCAAGCUUACGCUCUGAAUAUAAUAGCAUGGGAUAACACGACAGGACUCUGGCCUAUCGUGUUGGUCUAUAGGACCAGAGUAAUGAUUAAGAGGGACAGUCGGGGGCAUUCGUAUUCCGUUGUCAGAGGUGAAAUUCUUGGAUUUACGGAAGACGAACAUCUGCGAAAGCAUUUGCCAAGGAUGUUUUCAUUGA